This 465-nucleotide ribosomal RNA is filed under the name Vreelandella stevensii. RNAcentral's name for it is "partial 16S ribosomal RNA". It matches the Rfam family "Bacterial small subunit ribosomal RNA", at positions 338 to 795 of the family's 1533-position model. The record is from RNAcentral. Lineage: Bacteria; Pseudomonadati; Pseudomonadota; Gammaproteobacteria; Oceanospirillales; Halomonadaceae.
CCUACGGGAGGCUGCAGUGGGGAAUAUUGGACAAUGGGGGCAACCCUGAUCCAGCCAUGCCGCGUGUGUGAAGAAGGCCCUCGGGUUGUAAAGCACUUUCAGUGAGGAAGAACGCCUGGUGGUUAAUACCCAUCAGGAAAGACAUCACUCACAGAAGAAGCACCGGCUAACCCCGUGCCAGCAGCCGCGGUAAUACGGAGGGUGCGAGCGUUAAUCGGAAUUACUGGGCGUAAAGCGCGCGUAGGUGGCUUGAUAAGCCGGUUGUGAAAGCCCCGGGCUCAACCUGGGAACGGCAUCCGGAACUGUCAAGCUAGAGUGCAGGAGAGGAAGGUAGAAUUCCCGGUGUAGCGGUGAAAUGAGUAGAGAUCGGGAGGAAUACCAGUGGCGAAGGCGGCCUUCUGGACUGACACUGACACUGAGGUGCGAAAGCGUGGGUAGCACACAGGAUUAGAUACCCUUGUAGUA